GACGAACGCUGGCGGCGUGCUUAACACAUGCAAGUCGAACGGUGAAGCGCCUUCCUUUUUGGUGGGUGUGGAUGAGUGGCGAACGGGUGAGUAACACGUGAGUAACCUGCCCCCUUCUUCUGGAUAACCGCAUGAAAGUGUUGCUAAUACGGGAUAUUCUGGGUCUGUCGCAUGAUGGGUCUGGGAAAGAUAUUGUUUCGGUGGGGGAUGGGCUCGCGGCCUAUCAGCUUGUUGGUGGGGUGAUGGCCUACCAAGGCGGUGACGGGUAGCCGGCCUGAGAGGGUGGACGGUCACACUGGGACUGAGACACGGCCCAGACUACUACGGGAGGCAGCAGUGGGGAAUAUUGCACAAUGGGCGCAAGCCUGAUGCAGCGACGCCGCGUGAGGGAUGGAGGCCUUCGGAUUGUGAACCUCUUUCGCCAGUGAAGCAGGCCUGCCUCGUUUGUGGGUGGGUUGACGGUAGCUGGAUAAGAAGCGCCGGCUAACUACGUG
RNAcentral lists this ribosomal RNA (494 nucleotides) under uncultured bacterium. Its description in RNAcentral is "partial 16S ribosomal RNA". It matches the Rfam family "Bacterial small subunit ribosomal RNA", at positions 28 to 507 of the family's 1533-position model. The record is from RNAcentral.